Molecule: ribosomal RNA, 374 nt
Filed under: uncultured eukaryote
Lineage: Eukaryota
Description: partial 18S ribosomal RNA
Rfam family: Eukaryotic small subunit ribosomal RNA
Source: RNAcentral
CAAGAGCGUAUGUAAAAGUUGUUGCAGUUAAAAAGCUCGUAGUUGAACCUUGGGUUUGGUUGGCCGGUCCGCUUUUUUGCGAGUACUGGAUUCAACCGAGCCUUUCCUUCUGGCUAACCAGUCGUUUCGGCGGCUGGCGAACCAGGAUUUCUACUUUGAGAAAAUUAGAGUGUUCAAAGCAGGCAUUAGCUUGAAUAUAUUAGCAUGGAAUAAUAGAAUAGGACGUUAUGGUUCUAUUUUGUUGGUUUCUAGGACCAUCGUAAUGAUUAAUAGGGACGGUCGGGGGCAUCAGUAUUCAGUUGUCAGAGGUGAAAUUCUUGGAUUUACUGAAGACUAACUACUGCGAAAGCAUUUGCCAAGGACGUUUUCAUUAA